Long non-coding RNA from Anopheles arabiensis, 1127 nucleotides. RefSeq lists it as uncharacterized. NCBI's taxonomy places the organism in Eukaryota, Metazoa, Arthropoda, Insecta, Diptera, Culicidae. The record is from RefSeq and is a predicted model, not a curated record. The transcript is spliced from 5 exons.
CUUCAGUAUGUGAAUGUGCAUGUUGCUCACCCAUUUCUAUUCCUGUUUUUUGUUGUUGUUCUUGUUCACUUUUACACAAUUUUAAACAUCGACACGGUUGUGACCGAUAGAGUAUUUUUAGCGUGACCAGCUCUGAUGCUUCCUGUGCACACAUGUUCAAAAAAACACACAUUUGCUGCAGGCAAAACGCGCUGGUAUUUUUAGAAAUUUUAUCUUUUCCAUUCCGACUGUUGUCAGUAUUGAUUUUCCCUCUGCCUGGAACGCACCGAACAGGCGCGUUUGCGUAGCGCACUUGUGAACAAAGCAAAACCACCCGGGGACCUAACACCAAGUACUUUGUGUACAAUGAGCGAAACUAGAAAUUUGAUGACUACCUUUUUGAUCCUAAUUUUUCUACUUCUGCUACUGUAUCUCGUAUACGAAGGCUUCUAUCAGCCAGAAAUGUAGUUUAAACGGUCAUUUGUUAUUAUGUUCUAUACGUACUUUUACGGCUGCCCAACAAACUGGUGAUGAUUUGUCAAAAGACAAAACAGUCAUACAAUUUAUUUGAAUUCUGAAUCUAAACUGACGCAAAAACGUUUGGUUUGUUGGUGAUUUUUGGGACAUGGCUUUCAUACCAGCGAAUCAAAAGUAAUAUAUCACGCGUGCACGCACACGCACCUUCAUAGAACUUUCUGUGGCACUAUCUAGCACUACCAACCAACCGAACCCUAAGAUCACAAACUUCGCCAAAAAUGAUGGAACGCAUGACGAUGGUGGAUUCUCUGUUAAAACUUGACUUAAAUGUCAAGCUGGGAAACCACAUAGGGUCCAACUGUUUCCAACUCAUCAUCAACCAUUAUCCGCCCGAAUCGUUUAGCGGCAGCAGAAUGAAGAAGGACGAUAAAAUUACCAAGGAUAAAAUGAUGGACCGAAAAGUUAGACACCCUACCGCAUCGUUUUCUACCAAAUCCAUCAUUAUGAAUCUUGUAAUAGCAUUUUUUCUCUAUUUGCUGAGACGCACCAUAGAAGCUGGUGGGAAAAGCGCCAUAACAAAGUAUAGUAAAUUUAUCAAAUAAAUUGCCCUUCUGUGCCGUUUGAAUGGAAUACCAAUAAAAUUGUUAUGCCAGUCGUUAGUCGUAUUUUUA